Molecule: non-coding RNA, 117 nt
Organism: Podarcis lilfordi (Lilford's wall lizard)
Lineage: Eukaryota; Metazoa; Chordata; Lepidosauria; Squamata; Lacertidae
Source: the annotation of a GenBank genome assembly
GAACUGUUUAAUCACCCUUAUGUUUUUAAAGCAGUGUCUCUAGGAAUUAUGUGCCUCCUUUUAAAAUAUAAUUCAUAGAGACACUGCUUUAAAAACAUAAGGGUGAUUAAACAGUUC